CGUGUUGAUCUGCGAGAAAGGCACGCUGUGGGUGAUGAACUUCUCCAGGUCCAGCUCCUUCCUCAUGUACAUCUCCACGACUUCCGGGAGGUCGGUCCGCGGCUUGUAGUUGCCGAAGAAGGUGCCCUUCAGGGUCCUCUCAUUGAGCAAGUUCAUCGGGCUUGUCUUGAACACCGCCUCCUUGUGCGGGACGCCCACCAGCACCGCCACGCCCCAACCCUGCAUCCAGCAGAUUUCAACAUUCAGUCUAAACACUAAAAAUAGCUUGCAAAUAAUUAUCAUUGGAGUAGAGACUAUAUAUAGGUAUAUUGAGAGCUACGUACAUCAUGGACACAUUCGAAGGCGGCGAUCAUGGCGUCGAUGUGGCCAGUACACUCAACCGCACGGUCGACGCCGCCAUUGGUCAUCUCGACAAGCACCUGGAGAGCAACAUUGCACAUUGAGUUUUUGGCACAGGAUUGUGCAUGUCAUGAAGAACGAACAAAGGUGAAAAUAUGUGUUGAGGGAGAUGGAAAGAACUCUUGCACUGGCUUGGUGUGGUCCUUUGGGUUCACAAAGUCGGUGCAUCCAAAUUUCUUAGCUGAAAAAUUAUGUACAGGAUGUUCAGUGUCCCAUCCAACAAUAUUUACCAAGAUAUCCUUGUUUUGCCUGAGGCAAAUCGUACCUUGUUCGUAUUUUGCAGGGUUCAAAUCCACACCAAUGAUCCUUGAUGCCCCAGACAUCUUGGCCCCUUCCAUGGCCUGAUCAUGUGAGGAGCACACAGUAAUUAGUCACACAAUUCUCUCCAGCCUGCAAAAAUAUGUCGUAGAUAAAAAACAUCUUGGAACGUCACUUACAGCAAGGCCUACAGCUCCAAGACCGAAUAUGGCCACCGUCGAACCCUUUUUCGGUUUCGCGACAUUAAGGGUAGCACCAAGUCCUGCAGAAAAAUGACAAUUUAGCUAGUAAUGGAGGUACCCUGAACAUUGCGUUUCAUUUGGAAACAAUGGCAUGAGGAGCCAUCUCUUACCAGUUGAGAUGCCACAGCUGAGAACACAAACUUUGUCAAGGGGCGCCUCGGGGUUGAUCUUGGCGAGGCAACCAACAUGGAUCACAGUGUACUCACUGAAGGUGGAGGUCCCGACAAAGUGGAAGAUGGGUUUCCCGUUGAUGGUGAAGCCUGACUGCCCAUCCCCGAUCAUCACGCCACGAUCCACGUUGAUCCUGAGGAGGUCACAAAGGUUGCUCUCCUCUGACUUGCAGUGGGCACAGUCUUUGCACUCGCCGGUGAAGACCGGGAGUACAUGGUCGCCCGGCACGAGCUCGGUCACACCCUCUCCGACACUUUCAACAAUGCUGCAACAAGAAGCAAGUUAGUAAACAGAUUUAGCAGAAAAGAUAAACUACGAAAACAAACAUAAUACUCAUCAUUCAAUAAAAUGCAGAAAAGGUCCACUUUAAUAAAAUUGACAACUGCCGGAAUCUUUGAUUAUAAACUUGGUAAAUAUAUAAUUAAUGAGGAGGUCGGCAACUGACAGAACAUGGAAAAUUAACAGUCCAAAACCAUAUGAUUGUCCAAAGCACUUUACAGUGUGAGCUUGUGUCAUGGAUGACGUUAAAACAUGAUUCUUCAUAUGUUUUAUCCCAUGGCAAUAAGAUAUGGACACUUUCUGUAUGUAGGUAUCGAUCUAAUACCAUUGACAGAAAAGAGUUCAGGAAUCAGGAUGACUAUAAUUAGAAGCUAGUGUGAAUAGAUAAUGAUCAGUGUUGUGUCGUGAUUCUUCAUAUGCUUUAUCCCAUGGCAAUAAAAUACGGGCACUUGCUGUAUAUAGUUAUCAAUCUAGUAGCACUGACAGCUCAGGAUUUAGUAGUAUGACUGUAACUAGAAGCCAAUAUGAAUAAACUAUGAUUUAGGAUUCAAGAUUCCUCAGCUGAAACAGAAUAAGACAGAGACAGAGAGGAUGCAUACCCUCCAGCUUCAUGGCCCAAGAUCCUAGGGAAAACCGGAGUUUGCCCCUGCACAAACAAACCCAAGCAGAACAUGGCAAGUUAAUCAUCUAUCCAUUGAUCCACGUGUCUUUCACCAUACCCGUCUCGACUACGAGAUGCAAUUGUGUAUUUGUGUGGAUACCUUGGCUUCCCAGAAGUAGACGUCGGUGUGGCAGAGGGCGGUGUAGAGGAUCUUGACGCGCACCUCCAUGGCCUGCGGCGGCGCCACCUCCACCUCCUCGAUCGACAGCGGCUUCCCGGCCUCCCAUGCCACCGCCGCUGCAGUCACCCAAGAACCAAACCAAUUAGAUCAACAAUUCCAGAGCUUCAAAAUCAGACAAGACUGACUGCUAUGUCAGGAACAGACCUUUGCACUUGAUCACCUUCCCGGCGGUCGCCAUCCCUGUCCCUGUCGGUCGCAAGCUCCAAGAACUCGAAGAGAAAGAAGAUCGCUGUCUCUGCUUUGCAGUUCGAUGGUUGUAGAUUUUGGUGAGGAAGGAAGGCGAGGCGAGCCCUGUAUAUAUACUCCUGGUGCUGGAGGAAUCGGCGAGUAAUUAAGGGUAUGCUUGGAGUGCAAGCGGGGAAAGAAGUUGGACUGUUUUUCUUGGACAAGGCGGCCGAAACAGGGGUGUCCAGCCUCCGUUCGCCUGCCUGCGGCGCUGCGCGCGUCUCCGCUGGUUUCAAACCUCGUCCCCGUGUGGUAUAUGUGGAAACCAUGGCGACGUGACCAAGGGGCUAGAGAUCAACGGCAGCCGAAACAGAGUAAAAAACCCUGGGAUGAGGCCAGAGAGGGCUGACUUGGUGACGGAAAACCAGGGCGACCGAGAAAACCAGCUGCGAGAACAACAGCGUCCUCCCCGCUCUGCAACGGUCCACGACCCGACGCAUCGUCGUUUUGCUAGAAAUAAUACUAUACGUAGUAGGCAGCUGAAAAGUCCAUGGUUCUCUGCAUCUGCCGGAUCAGGGCAAUAGGGCAUGCAUGCUGGAUUGCUGGCCGUCGGCUUUCACAGUUUCAGUGUUUCCUCGGAGAGAUUCAGUACGUAGUCUGUAUCGGAUGGCUGACCUGCCUGUCGGUUUUCAGUUCUAUUGUUCUCUCCAGAAGAUUCAGAAGUCUAUAUAGAAUGUGAAUCUUUACUUUUCCUACAAUAAUGUGAAUCUUUUACUAUCCCUAAAAAAUGUGAAUCUUUUAGUCCAACAAAGAACUCCCACCGUUUCUAAAAAUAAGUCUUUUUAGAUAUUCUAACAUGAACUGCAUACGAAACAAAAUGAGUGAAUGUACACUCUAAAAUACGUGUAUAUUCGUUUAUAUGUAGUCUAUGUUCAAAUCUCAAAAAGACGAAUAUUUAGGAACGGGGGAGUAGCAUGACCAGCAGAAAUCAGCUAUACUACUCGUCGAGCUUUAUGUUUUUGCCGCUCGCACCCUGACAAACAAACCACUGAUUUUUUUUAUAAAGAGUAGUAAUAUAUUGAUACCAAUUACAUUUAAACUCUACAACAAACAUGAUAUCUGGAGCUAGUUGUGAUAUCGAGGAUUCACGUAUCUAAAAACAAAAACAAAAAACGACUUGAAAAGGUCAAGGUGACGUGAAUAACUCGUUGCAACACAACAUCAACAACUAUCACUGUCAUAGGCAACAUCAAGAGUACGAGAAGGUCCCCAACAUUGACGCCUUCAAAACGGUAAUGGCGCUUAAACCUCAUUCUCGCCGGAUCCAACAAUACAAGUCAGAUCAUUGAUUUUCAUCCAACGGAGAAAGUCCUAGCAAACUCCAGAUCAUGCCUUCAACAAGGGAGCUCAUGCCACUACUGUCAAAUACAACCAAUGAAGGUCAAACCUCGGAUUUUUAUCCCGAAAAUCAAUGACUGGUACUCAAAGAGCACCAUAAAAAAUGAAACCUACAGAGUUGCCACCACCAACUUAACAAGAAGAAGUCUCGCUACAAUGUCCGAAUUAGCACCAAAACCGCGGACCAGGAUGGACUCGACACAUCGGGCAAUUGCUGAGAAGCCAUAUCUACCUGGGCCAAUAUGUAGCACACCCUGAUCAUCCAUCCCCGAAAGACAAAAGAUACCUGUUGGAGUUCAUCUACUGUGUUGGCGGGAAGCAAAGGCUAGGUUCAAUUGGUUUAGUUUGGUCAGUAGUACUGUUACCGAGCACGUCGUCAGAACUGGACAUGGCCAGUAGCUCCUCAACAAUGUGAAUCUGAACUGUUGGGGGACAAGUGUGAUACUUGCCCUAUCUAUCCCCACACUUGAAGCACAAACCUCGCGCACGGUAGUAAGCCUGUAGUGCGCUGAGUUUACUGGAAUCAGUGUUGCAGUCUCCCAUCGCCCCUCAUCCCGCUCCUCUCCCCUGCCGCCGCUACAGGGAGUGACCGGGCGAAGCCCGGCCAGCGGCUACGGCGGCAGGGCUCCUUCGCCCCCCGAUGCGUGGAUUCGAUGCGGGACGGAUCUGACGGGCAAGGGCGUCACGAUGCGGAAGGUCGUGAUGGUGCGAUCCAUCUUUCUAGCAGCUACGACGGGAGGCGGGUGACCCAGAUGUGGCCUCCGGUGGUGGGGCGUGCUGGGUCUUGGCGGCGGCGGCGAUCUGGCCCAGAUCCGUGGUCCCAAGCACUAGGCGGCGCGGGCUGCGAUCGGCAACGACAACUGGCUGGUGAUGUCUUCUGGGCAGUAGUGGCCGACGUCAAUGGUGGAUCUGGGCGGUGGCGGUCCUCGUGUUUCGGUGGCUGCGUGUGUCUACUCGGCGAGGCACCACGCGGUUCCAGUCAGCUACUGGGGCCAGAUGGCGCGAUUGCCGGUGAAAAUCUCGUCGACUUUGGUCUUACGGACGAUGGCGGUGUCAUUGACGUCAUUUCCUUGUUGAGGCAUCGUCGUUGCAGGCAACGUUAUCUCCCCUAGGCUGCUCCAGGGGAAACCCUCGAUCCGGGUCUUCCCGGAUCGGACUAUGACGCUUCGAUGUUGUUCUCCCUUCUGGGGGCAUCGUUUUGGAGCAGGUGCUGACUGAAAGGGCACAGCGAUGGAAUGGGGUUUUAUCUUUUUUUAGAACAAAGACGCUAGGUGCUUCCGGCUUUAAAUUAAUAAAGCCCACAUCAUAGGCAGCGUACCAACAGAUCCAAACCAUACACACACAGACGGCCUCAGGCCACACACGAGGGAAGUCAUAGGGUUCAAGGCAGACCGCGAGCAAGAGUUACAUGGCUCGAGGGCCAAAUACUGGGCACGCAGGCUCGCAAACGAACAAAAGGGCCACUCCUUUAAGAAGUGGCAGUUGGUUCCCUAGCCAUCAUGCACACCUGGCGGAGACAGUUUUAACUGUGCUACAUCCUCUCAGCAUCCUUGCGCCUCGCCAACGGAUUCCACUACUGCAGAAACAGAUUGCAUUUGUAGAUAACAUUAGCCGAGUGGGUCGGGAAGAUCCCCUCAAUAGCUAGUUUGUUCCUAGUUAACCAGCGCGCCCAGAAUAGUGCCCCAACACAGCUCCACAGAACUCGUUUUCCACUACCCUGGACCGAGUCUAGAAUGGCCACUAAAUCACCGGUGGACCGCGGGUCCCAUGGCACUCCCGCCGUGGUCCAAACAACGUUCCAAGCGAACCUAGAUAGCAGGCAUCAAAAAAAGACGUGAUUUGCGUCCUCGACUACAUUGCAGACCGUAGAUGUGCAUGUCAUCGGCCCCUGCCGUUUUGCUACAUUUUCGAACCUGGGCAAUCUGUUGCGAAACAGUUGCCACAUAAACACUUUGAUUUUGAGAGGGAUGCGUGCCUUCCAGAGGCCCUUAACCACCGGCUGGGCCGCCCCUUGGCAAAGCUUGUGGUAAAGCUAUUUGACCGUAAACUUGGCGGGCGAGGUGAGCUCCCAGGUCACCGAGUCGGCUGCAACAGACAACGAGGUCGAGCUGAUGAGAUCAAGCAUCACCACAUAAUUCGCUCGCUCUUGGUCAUUGAGCUCGCGGUGGAAGUGAACCACCAGGGGGACGAGGCUAAGUCCAAGGCUACGGUCAUGUUCGGGUCUACAGCGAUCGCGUACAAGUCCUGGAAUUCCGACCAGAGAGGUUGGGAGCCAACCCAAAAGUCUAGCCAGAACCUGGCCGAUCAGCCAUCUCCAAUGGCAUACUUUGCCCCUGUUGCAAAGGCUGGUUUGACAGUUUGGAGGUCGUUCCAGAAAGGUGAGACUCUUGCUACACCUUCGAAAAAAUUCCCAUUCGGGAAGUACUUUGUACAUAGAAGGUCCACCCCCAAGCCCGUUGCCCCUUGUGAUAUUUUACAAAUCCACUUGCACAGGAGUGCAAUUUUUAGAAUUCUAGUGUUGGUGAUCCCGAGGCCCCCCAAGGCCUUGGGACGGCAUACCGCCGCCCACUUCACCAUGUGGUACUUGCGCUUCGGGCCCGUACAUUCCAAAAAGAAACACGACCAAGGUGUGUCCAUUUUGGCGCGAACUCCUUCAGCCAGCAGAAAGAGACCCAUCACAAACAUAGGCAGGGAGGACAGGCUCGAGUUCAUGAGCACUAGCCUAGCUCUGGAGGAGAGGAAUUUGCCACGCCAAGGGCACACCUUUCCCCCAAUCUUGGCACAGAGCGGAGCCCAAUCAUCGAUCGUUAGGAGUUUACUAAGGGCAGGCCUAAAUACGUGAAGGGGAACUUGCCAAGUUUACAGUUGAGCAAGUCCGCGAUGCGCCUGCCCUCCUCCGCGUCCAAUCCCAUGGACAAAACUUCACACUUUUGGAAGUUGAUCUUCAUCCCGGAGAUGAGCUCGAAAUUAAGGACGAGGGCUUUGAUAGUGGCCACACUGUGGAGGUUCGGUUGGAACAGCAGUAACGUGUCGUCAGCGUACUGCAGGUGGGAGAUCCCCCCUGGGAUGAGGUGACUAACCACACCUUUGAUGUGGCCGACCUCUGUGGCUUUCCGCAGCAUAGACGCCAGUGCGUCGACUAUGAAGUUGAAUAGGAUCGGGGACAUUGGGUCGCCCUGACGGAGUCUGUGCCUGCUCCGGAAGAAGUGCCCUACUUCUCAGUUGACCUAGAUUGUUGUCUGGCCCCCGGGACCAACUGCAUCACUCGAUGAACCCAAACAGUCGAGAAACCCUGACUAAGGAGAACUUGACACAGGAAAUCCCAAUUAACCCAGUCGUAAGCCUGUUCGAAGUCCAUUUUUAGUAAGAUAGCCGGUUCAUUUGUACGUUUGAGCUCGUGAAUAAUUUCCUGUAGAGCCAGAGGGCCCUCCAGGAUGUGGCGGACGCGGAUGAAAGCAGAUUGCGAACGACUAAUUGUGCAUUGAGCGAUCGGGACGAGGCACGUAGUGCACACUUUGGCACAGAUCUUGAAAGGCACGUUGAUAAGCGCGAUGGCUCUAUACUCGUGAAUGUUAUCCACCCCCGCCACUUUGGGGAUAAGCGAUAAAACGCCGUAGUUGAGCCUAGAGAUGUCUAUUGUACCGUGCAUAAAGCCGUUACACACCUCAAAAAUGGGUCCGCAGAGCAAUGGCCAGAAAUGUUUGAACAUUACAACCGGCCACCCGUCCGACCCGGUGCAGUGUCCGACUUCAUGCUCAUGAGCGCAUCGUUGAUCUCCUUGGGGAGAAACACAAGUCCCAGCUCCGCGUUUUCGUUGUCAAGGACUAACUACGAGGGCAUCCAGACGUCUGUGCGCAGACUAGCCCUCUGGUCCUUGCUUGCCCCCAUCAGUUGGAUAUAGAACUCGUAAACAUGGUUCAUUAUAUCCACUUGGCGCAAUAGCAACCCAUGUUCUGAUUGCAGCCUAAGGAUCGCACAUUUCCGGCGUCUUCCAUUAGCAUAGGCAUGGAAGUACUUGGUGUUGGCAUCCCCUUUAAGAGUCCACUUGAGGCCACCCCGACACCUCCAGUAUUCCACCUCGACACGAAGCAGCGCUUCAACUUUUCCUUCCAGGGCGUAGCGGUGCACCCAUUCUUGCUCUGAGAAGGGCCUCUCAUCAGCCUGGGCAUCGAGCCACGCGAUUUCGUCGAUUAAAUUGCUCUGAGUAACUUGUCAUCUCGCCCUUGGUUUGCGCCCCAUCCCUUGAGGCUCGAAUGGAGGCGCCCCCCUGCCGCAUUCUAGAACUCCAUAGGGCCAUGUUGUGGGCCUAUUUGUUGCACGCUUCUCAACCAUUUUCCCCUAAACAUGGUGUCAAAUUCUGGUAUCUCAAACCAGGCCGUCUCAAAACAUAAACGAGGGCUGCAGUCGGAUCCGGUCCUCCCCUGAGGACAAGAUCAGGGUCCGUGAUCGAACCCUAUGCGCGUUUCCGCGAUGAUCGAGCGAAGAGGAUAAAGCACCUCCUAGCCGGGUGAAAUGAACACCUGAUCCAACACUGAACGCACCGGGGUGAGUUGCUUGUUCAUCCAGGUGUACCUAGCACCGGUCCUAGCCACUUCCUGAAGAGCCAUGGACGCAAUUGCGUUGUUGAACCUAGCCACUCGGGGCGAGUUGAUGAUAUUGUUGUUUUUGUCCGCUCCCGAGCGAAUCAAAUUGAAGUCACCCCCUACCAUCACAGGGAUCAGGGCUGCGGAGAUCGCGAGCACCUUGGCUUGGAUGACCAUGUCACGCCCAAUAUGCGAUACUAUCCUAAAGAGACUCGAAGGUCCCACCAAGGAUAGAACCCCAUAUUGAGACGCUUUUGCAAGGUGGAUAUCAUUACAUCAACAUUACAUAAUAGAUGGGGAUACAUACCAGAGGCAUACAAUGCAACAAGAAUACAACAACACAUCAUACAUAAGAUCAACAUCCGACUACGGAUGAAACACAAACAGAAACUCAAACGACAUCCACCUUGCUAACCCAGGAUGCCGACCUGGAACCUAUCCCCUGAUCGAAGAAGAAGCAGAAGAAGAACUCCAAGACAAGCAAACAACGCUCUCGCGUCAUGAUCAUCGCAUAACCUGUACCUGCAACUGUUGUUGUAGUAAUCUGUGAGCCACGAGGACUCAGCAAUCCCAUUACCAUGGGUAUCAAGACUAGCAAAGCUUAAUGGGAAAGGAAGGGGUAAAGUGGUGAGGUUGCAGCAGCGACUAAGCAUGAUAUGGUGGCUAACAUACGCCAAUAAGAGCGAGAAGAGAAGCAAAUGGAACGUUUGUGAAGCUAGCAAUGAUCAAGAAGUGAUCCUGAACUCCUACUUACUUCAAACAUAACCCAAAACCAUGUUCACUUCCCGGACUCCGCCGAAAAGAGACCAUCACGGCUACACACGCGGUUGAUGCAUUUUAAUUCGGAUCUGGUGUCAAGUUCUCUACAACCGGAUAUUAACAAAUUCCCAUCUGCCGCAUAACCGCGGGCACGGCUUUCGAAAGUUUAAACCCUGCAGGGGUGUCCCAACUUAGCCCAUCACAAGCUCUCACGGUCAACGAAGGAUAUUCCUUCUCCCAGGAAGACCCGAUCAGACUCGGAAUCCCGGUUACAAGACAUUUCGACAAUGGUAAAACAAGACCAGCAAAGCCGCCCGAUGUGCCGACAAAUCCCGAUAGGAGUCGCACGUACCUCGUUCUCAGGGCACACCGGAUAAGUCAAGCUACGAGUGAAACCAGACCUCAAGUUUCCCCGAGGUGGCCCCGCAGGCUGCUCGGUUCGGACCAACACUCGAAGGAGCACUGGCCCGGGGGGGUUAAAAUAAAGAUGACCCUUGAGUCUGCAGAACCCAAGGGAAAAAGGCUUAGGUCGCAAAUGUUAAAACCAAGGUUGGACCUUGCUGGAGGAGUUUUAUUCAAAGCGAACUGUCAAGGGGGUCCCAUAAAUCACCCAACCGUGUAAGGAACACAAAAUCAAGGAACAUAACACCGGUAUGACGGAAACUAGGGGCGGCAAGAGUGGAACAAAACAUGAGGCAUAAGGCCGAGCCUUCCACCCUUUACCAAGUAUAUAGAUGCAUUAAUUAAAUAAGAGAUAUUGUGAUAUCCCAACAUAAUCCUGUCCAUCAUGGAGCAAUCUUCAACUUCUCCUGCAGCUACCAAUGCUAUAAGAGGGGCUGAGCAAAAGCGGUAACAUAGCCAAGCGACGGUUUGCUAGGAAGGGUGAAAAAUGUUAGAGGCUGACAUGGCAAUUUGGGAGGCUUGAAGAGUAAAUGAUAGGUAGCGCAGCAUAGCGAUAGAACAAAGCAACUAGCAUAGCAAUGAUAGUAGUGAGAUCCAGGGUAGCGGUCAUCUUGCCUGAAAUCCCGCAAGGAAGAAGAACGAGUCCAUGAAGAAGAUGAAGCCACGAAGAUGAACCAAGCGUAGACGAACGAAUCCUCACGAUCGCAAUGAAACAGGAAGUAACGAGAAGGAGCACAACCAGAAAGAAGCAAACAACAAGGUAAACACACAACACAUAGACAAGACAUGAAGCGCAACCAAGCAUGAUGCAUGACAAAGCUAUAUGAGGCUACUCAUGGCAAGAGAUGAUGCAUACAAGAGCAACACAUCAAAGCAAGUUUAAAUGAGGCCGGAAACCACAUAGAACUAAUCCGGUAAGUCCUCAUAUGCAAAUUUUGAAAUUGGUCCAGAUCUUAAUAAACCUUAUGUUCAAGUUGUUAAACAGCAAGUUAAAAUGUACCAAGUUGAUCUACACAAGAUUCUAGUCAAGUUACAUAUAAAGUUCAUUUAAUUCGGAGCUACGACCUAGAAGAUAUGAGCAAAACAAGUUAACCAUGACAUUGAUGCAAAAUGCAUUCAAACAUCAAGCAAACACUCUCAAAACAUGGAUGCAACAUGAUAAGAUAAAACUAUAUGCAAUUCUCAGCAAAUUUCAUGUAGAGCAUGCUCAAAACGGAGCAACGGUGCAACACAUACACUCCAAACAAGAUAUAACAACAAUUUGUCCAAAACAGCAACUAGGCAUCUUACGAGCAUCAUCAAGAUAUGCUACAGCACCCCAACAUGGAAACAAAAGGCAUGAACAUGAUGUACAAAUGAAGCUUAAUAAAACAUGAACACUGAGCUAUCUCCAGAAAUCAUUAGAACAUGCUCAAAACGACAUGACAAGAUUGCAUGUAAUAAUAGUUUCAGACUUUGCAGAAAUAACAUCAGGUUGCAAUGUUUAGAGCUAUCAAACAAUAUGCUACAGGAACUUAACAUAGCAAAAUAAGGCAUGGCAUAAAUCUACUAAACUCAUAGAACAAAAGACCCUUACUGAACAUGAGCCAAAAAGGAACAGAAGAUAUGAUGGCACCCAUGUAAACAUGGCAAGUGAUAUGACAGAUUCAGAAUAAUAGUACAUGGCAGGAACAACGAUAAGUAGGCAUGUUGGUCAGCUUGUAUAGCUCACCAAAGAGCAAUACAUGACAUGAAAAGGUGACCAACAGUAAGAUGACAUAUUUAUGAAGCUAAUUAUGGCAAGAGCAAGUUCAUAGGGUGCAUGGAUCACUAGCAAAACACAUGGCAAAACUGAACUUCAUGUUAAUAGGCUGACAGCAACAUUAUUUAGCAAUUUGAGAACAAGAUUACAACAUGCUACAGCGUGCUAUAAAUGCAACCAGGUACAUGGAUGGAUAUAAAAUGACAUGUAUAACAAAACAUCCUUAGUGAACAUCUCUAGAUUAUGCAUAGAAUGACUUGUAGCAGCAGGUUUACAUAGCAUCAUAAUAUAGCAGAUUCAGCCUAGCAAAAUAGUAACAACAAGUACCCUACUUCGCGAGCUAGAUGCACUCACUACAAGACUCAAAAAAAUACAUGGAUUGCACGUCUAUAAAGAUGGCAUGAUUUAGCUCAAAACACAUGUAGACAUCAUGAUCAUAGGAUGCACACACAAAAUGCAAUGAAAAUGACAAAACAACAAGUUCUGUUAACAGACAGCAGUUAACAUCAUAUAGCACUCUUGCAACGAUGAUAAUGGCAUCAAGAUGGACUCAACAAAGCAUGGAACAAUGGAACGCAAAGAAGAGCAUCUCACAAUGAACAUUUCCAUAUAUCAUAUGCACAAAACGGAGCUAUGGUCAUGGAGAUAUGGCAUAAUGAACAGGGCAUGAAAAUGUCAAAAUAUCAGGGACUUAGCAGAAAUCACCACCUCGAGGGCAGAAGUCAACGGCGGCGCGAGAAGCGAGGAUGGCCGGAGAAGGGGCCGUGGACGGGCGCACGCGGCGGAUCUGGGCCGGAUCUCGCCGUAUCCGGCCAGAUCCCGGCUCGGGGAGGCGGGGAAGGACGCNNNNNNNNNNNNNNNNNNNNNNNNNNNNNNNNNNNNNNNNNNNNNNNNNNNNNNNNNNNNNNNNNNNNNNNNNNNNNNNNNNNNNNNNNNNNNNNNNNNNNNNNNNNNNNNNNNNNNNNNNNNNNNNNNNNNNNNNNNNNNNNNNNNNNNNNNNNNNNNNNNNNNNNNNNNNNNNNNNNNNNNNNNNNNNNNNNNNNNNNNNNNNNNNNNNNNNNNNNNNNNNNNNNNNNNNNNNNNNNNNNNNNNNNNNNNNNNNNNNNNNNNNNNNNNNNNNNNNNNNNNNNNNNNNNNNNNNNNNNNNNNNNNNNNNNNNNNNNNNNNNNNNNNNNNNNNNNNNNNNNNNNNNNNNNNNNNNNNNNNNNNNNNNNNNNNNNNNNNNNNNNGGCUGCGGCAACGGGUGGCUCGGGCCCGGGCGGGCCCCGCAAGGGCUGAGCGGGCCGGCGGCACGCAGCGGUGAAGGACGCCACGAGAGGCGACGUGGCGGCAUGGGAUUCGCUGCGGCGGGCGGCGCGGACGUGUCCGGCGGGAUUGGACAUGUCCGUCGGCGAGAGGAGGAAGAAGCUAGGGUUUCAUCUGGGAAUUUCGGGGGAGGUGGCCUAUUUAUAGAUAGAGGGAGCUAGGAGACUCCAAAUGAGGAGCGGUUUUCGCCCACACGAUCGUGAUCGAACGACCGAGAGCAUGGAGGGAGUUUGGAUGGGCUCAUGGGCUGCCGUGAAGAGGGGCUGGGCUGCAAAGAGAGAGGGGUUUCAGGCUACGCGGUUAACCGUUGGGGCAUCAAACGACCUCCAAAUGGAACGAAAUUUGACGGGCGGUCUACCGGUGCUAUACCAAGGCCACUCGACAAACCUCGGUCUGUUUCGAGAACGAUUUUAACCCGCUCACGAAAACAAGGUCUGGACUCCGAACGGACAACGGAGAGGACCGGGGGAACCCGAACGGAUGCAAGUUUUGAAAAACAUGCAGAUGAAAUGUAGAUGGUGACAUGGAAAAGUGCAACACACAAGCAAAUAACAUGGCAACAACAACGAAUAACUGGAGGACAUCUGGCGCAUCGAAUCCGUGGCGUUACAACUCUCCUCCACUAACAAGAGAUCUCGUCCCGAGAUCUUAGGAACGAGACGGAAGAGAAAGAGGAAGAGGUGAAGUAAGAACACAAGAGAAAAGGUGAACCAAGUCAAGAGCACUAGGGUAGAAAACAGGAAUGACGAGUAUGACGAGAAUCAAAUGCUCAUGGAAACAAGAUGGACUCUGAAAGCACUCCGGUUAGAACAAGAUAGAAAAGGAAUGAAAAAAAGAAUUUGGGCAGCACUCCACCUGAAAAUGGGAGGAAUAGAACAUGAACUUCACCCAAUGAGAUGGCACUUGACGAGAUGACCAAUGCCAUGCCUCCGGAAGAAUUGAAAGAAUGGAAUGAAAAGAACUUAGAAAGAAGGAUUGAAUGGAGUUGUUGAGAAAAUCAACAACGAAAGAAUAAGCUUGUUGUGGACUUAUCAAAAACAACUCAAAACUUGAGGUGAAAUUAUAGCACAACCAAUGUCUGAAUAGCUGAGAGGAAUGAAGAAAUGCAAAACUCCACUUCAAAAGAAAUACGGAGAAUUAAUUGCACUUAGAGACGCGAGAAGAAAAGAUAUUUGAACUCCACCAACAAAAUCUUGAUGAAAACUUGAAGAAUGAAUUAAAUCAUGAAGAACAACCAUGAAGAACUCCGGUGACAAAAGGAUGAUGAGAUAGAAAGAAGGAAAAAAGAAUAAGAUGAGCCUUACGGUGAUUUAGAUGGAGGUUCCGACGAAAUGGCCGAGUAAUUUGAACUCCAGGAAAAGAAAAGAUGAAAACACUUGGAACUAGAAUUUAUUCCUCACGAACAAACUCCAAAGAAAAGGGAUUACUAGACGAUGAUAAAAUAAGAAUAAGAAUUACGUUAUGCUUAUCCUCAUCCAAUUUAAUGGGUAACGAGCGGAUUUGGCAUGCAACUUAUUCCUCUUGAAAAGGAUUGAGAAAUGACAUAUCGCAAACUUGAGAAGGUCUUCAUGAACCACCGGUAGGAUUUGGAAGAACGAAUGAAUUAAUAUGAUAAUCAAGGAAAAAGGAAUCUGAAGGAACCACCGAAAGAAUUAGAAAAAUGACUGAUGAAAGAGAAUGAAUCACCGGGAAGAAUUAGAAGAACCAAUAAGCUAGAGGGGAUUUAUAUGCAAAAGGACAAAGAGAUCAGAGCUGAUAAAGAAUACUUGACAGAUGCACCGGGAUAACUGGAUAACGGUAGCCGAAAUGUGACGACGAAGAAUUCUUCUAGUACGAUGGCCUCCGGUGAAAAGAAACGGGAAAACAACUUCUGACAUACUCCGGAUGGGUAAGAAAAGAAUAUCUGACAAACGGAAUAAUUUGAGAGGAUAAUAUGAAGCUUGAACCACGAAUCUUCGGGAGAACGGGCAAGAUUGAGAGGAAAACUCUUCUUCGGUCUUCAAAUGACGACGAGAAACACCACGAAAAUUACUAAGAUACCCCGGUAGAAUGAAAACCAAAAAGGUUGAGCCAACAAUGAAAUGAUUUGAAAUCGAUCUUGGAAGGGCAUCUGACUGAUGAAAUUCAUUCUUAUGUCAGACUCCGAAAAGAAUUAGGAAUGGCUCCGAAAUAAUUAGAAGAGUCAGGUAAGAUCCUGGGAAAAGACCUAUGGGUUAGGGCCCACUAAAAUAGAACACCGUUGGAAAGGGAUGCUGAACAGAUAGGUGAAGCACCGGAACAAUUAAAAUAUUUGAAUGAGGUGACAACCACGAAUUAAUUGUAACACAGACGAAUCUCCUGAGAUGUCUUGAACACUCCAGAAGGAUAAACUGGCGAGAGGCGAACGAGCGGGGAAAGCACUUGAUCCAAGGAAAAGAAUAUGAUCAAACGAAAACUUGAAUUGAGUCCACCAGAAAAGAGAUGAAGAAUGUCAAACAAAAGAGAAUUCACCGGUUGAAAUAAUUGAGGGAAGAUUGAAGAGGCUCCACACAAAUGAAAUAGCUUCUCGAAUAAAGGCUUGGACUCUGGGAAGAAAAGGGGUGGGAGGGCAGGAAAAACACAGGCAACUAGAACCACGAAUAAUUGAAUAGAGAAGCGCCGGUUGAAAUGAUUGAGGAGAGAGUGCAAAAACUUUGCAUGAGUGGGAUGGAUACUCGAUUACGGACUCCGGCUUCAAGAAAAAAAGGGGUGGGCGGAUGGGAAAAGAAGACAACUAAGGGCAGAGAAACAACUUCGUUGAGAGCAAACUGAGGAUUGAACUUGGCAAAGACGAAGAGACUCGAGUCAAUUUGACGAGAAAUGCACCGUAUGAAAAGAGAUGAGAACCAACGAACGAAAACUAACCGCGUGAUCCUAAAGAAAAAAUUUGAAGGCGAAGAGGAGUAAUUCAAAACACCUACGUCAAGAUUCCUUACCAGAGCUACGAAGGGGCUGAGGAGUAAAAAGAAUUCCUACUCUCCGAUAUAACUAGACUCAGAAAUAGUUUUCUUCUAGAAUCAACAACGACCAAACUACACGAUCAAUCAAGGGGGCUCCUAUGGUCGGUCGAGGCUCUGAUACCAACUUGUCACGCCCAAUAUGUGAUACUAUCCUAAAGAGACUCGAAGGUCCCACCAAGGAUAGAACCGCAUAUUGAGACGCUUUUGCAAGGUGGAUAUCAUUAUAUCAACAUUACAUAAUAGAUGGGGAUACAUACCAGAGGCAUACAAUGCCACAAGAAUACAACAACACAUCAUACAUAAGAUCAACAUCCGACUACGGAUGAAACACAAAUAGAAACUCAAACGACAUCCACCCUGCUAACCCAGGCUGCCGACCUGGGACCUAUCCCCUGAUCGAAGAAGAAGCAGAACAAGAACUCCAAGACAGGCAAACAACGCUCUCGCGUCAUGAUCAUCGCAUAACCUGUACUUGCAACAGUUGUUGUAGUAAUUUGUGAGCCACGAGGACUCAGCAAUCCCAUUACCAUGGGUAUCAAGACUAGCAAAGCUUAAUGGGAAAGGAAGGGGUAAAGUGGUGAGGUUGCAGCAUCGACUAAGCAUGAUAUGGUGGCUAACAUACGCCAAUAAGAGCGAGAAGAGAAGCAAAUGGAACGUUCGUGAAGCUAGCAAUGAUCAAGAAGUGAUCCUGAACUCCUACUUACGUCAAACAUAAUCCAAAACCGUGUUCACUUCCCGGACUCCGCCGAAAAGAGACCAUCACGUCUACGCACGUGGUUGAUGCAUUUUAAUUCGGAUCUGGUGUCAAGUUCUCUAUAACCGGAUAUUAACAAAUUCCCAUCUGCCGCAUAACCGCGGGCACGGUUUUCGAAAGUUUAAACCCUACAGGCGUGUCCCAACUUAGCCCAUCACAAGCUCUCACGGUCUACGAAGGAUAUUCCUUCUCCCAGGAAGACCCGAUCUGACUCGGAAUCCCGGUUACAAGACAUUUUGACAAUGGUAAAACAAGACCAGCAAAGCCGCCCGAUGUGCCGACAAAUCCCGGUAGGAGUCGCAUGUACCUCGUUCUCAGGGCACACCGGAUAAGUCAAGCUACGAGUGAAACCAGACCUCAAGUUUCCCCAAGGUGGCCCCGCAGGCUGCUCGGUUCGGACCAACACUCGAAGGAGCACUGGCCCCGGGGGGGGGGGGGUUAAAAUAAAGAUGACCCUUGAGUUUGCAGAACCCAAGGGAAAAAGGCUUAGGUGGCAAAUGUUAAAACCAAGGUUGGGCCUUGCUGGAGGAAUUUAUUCAAAGCGAACUGUCAAGGGGGUCCCAUAAAUCACCCAACCGUGUAAGGAACGCAAAAUCAAGGAACAUAACACCGGUAUGACGGAAACUAGGGGCGGCAAGAGUGGAACAAAACACGAGGCAUAAGGCCGAGCCUUCCAUCCUUUACCAAGUAUAUAGAUGCAUUAAUUAAAUAAGAGAUAUUGUGAUAUCCCAACAUAAUCCUGUCCAUCAUGGAGCAAUCUUCAACUUCACCUGCAGCUACCAAUGCUAUAAGAGGGGCUGAGCAAAAGUGGUAACAUAGCCAAGCGAUGGUUUGCUAGGAAGGGUGAAAAAGGUUCGAGGCUGACAUGGCAAUUUGGGAGGCUUGAAGAGUAAAUGAUAGGUAGCGCAGCAUAGCGAUAGAACGAAGCAAAUAGCAUAGCAAUGAUAGUAGUGAGAUCCAGGGUAGUGGUCAUCUUGCCUGAAAUCCCGCAAGGAAGAAGAACAAGUCCAUGAAGAAUAUGAAGCCACGAAGACGAACCAAGCGUAGACGAACGAAUCCUCACGAUCGCAACGAAACAGGAAGUAACAAGAAGGAGCACAACCGGAAAGAAGCAAACAACAAGGUAAACAGACAACACAUAGACAAGACAUGAAGCGCAACCAAGCAUGAUGCAUGACAAAGCUAGAUGAGGCUACUCAUGGCAAGAGAUGAUGCAUACAAGAGCAACACAUCAAAGCAAGUUUAAACGAGGUCGGAAACCACAUAGAACUAAUCCGGUAAGUCCUCAUAUGCAAAUUUCGAAAUUGGUCCAGAUCUUAAUAAACCUUAUGUUCAAGUUGUUAAACAGCAAGUUAAAAUGUACCAAGUUGAUCUACACAAGAUUCUAGUCAAGUUACAUAUAAAGUUCAUUUAAUUCGGAGCUACGGCCUAGAAGAUAUGAGCAAAACAAGUUAACCAUGACAUUGAAGCAAAAUGCAUUCAAAUAUCAAGCAAACACUCUCAAAACAUGGAUGCAACAUGAUAAGAUAAAACUAUAUGCAAUUCUAAGCAAGUUUCAUAUAGAGCAUGCUCAAAAUGGAGCAACGGUGCAACACAUACACUUCAAACAAGAUAUAACAACAAUUUGUCCAAAACAGCAACUAGGCAUCUUACGAGCAUCAUGAAGAUAUGCUACAGCACCCCAACAUGGAAACAAAAGGCAUGAACAUAAUGUACAAAUGAAGCUUAAUAAAACAUGAACACUGAGCUAUCUCCAGAAAUCAUUAGAACAUGCUCAAAAUGACAUGGCAAGAUUGCAUAUAAUAACAGUUUCAGACUUUGCAGAAAUAACAUCAGGUUGCAAUGUUUAGAGCUAUCAAACAAUAUGCUACAGGAACUGAACAUAGCAAAAUAAGGCAUGGCAUAAAUCUACUAAACUCAUAGAACAAAAGACCCUUACUUAACAUGAGCCAAAAAGGAACAGAAGAUAUGAUGGCACCCAUGUAAACAUGGCAAGUUAUAUGACAGAUUCAGAAUAAUAGUACAUGGCAGGAACAAUGAUAAGUAGGCAUGUUGGUCAGCUUGUACAGCUCACCAUAGAGCAAUACAUGGCAUGAAAACGUGACCAACAGUAAGAUGAAAUAUUUAUGAAGCUAAUCAUGGCAAGAGCAAGUUCAUAGGGUGCAUGGAUCACUAGCAAAACACAUGGCAAAACUGAACUUCAUGUUAAUAGGCUGACAACAACAUCAUUUAGCAAUUUGAGAACAAGAUUACAACAUACUAUAGCAUGGUAUAAAUGCAACCAGGUACAUGGAUGGAUAUAGAAUGAUAUGUAUUACAAAACAUCCUUAGUGAACAUCUCUAGAUUAUGCAUAGAAUGACUUGUAGCAGCAGGUUUACAUAGCAUCAUAAUAUAGCAGAUUCAGCCUAGCAAAACAAUAACAACAAGUACCCUACUUCGCGAGCUUGCUGGACUCACUACAAGACUCAAAAAAAUACACGGAUUGCUCCUCUGUAAAGAUGGCAUGAUGUAGCUCAAAACACAUGUAGACAUCAUGCUCAUAGGAUGUACACACAAAAUGCAAUGAAAAUGACAAAACAACAAGUUCUGUUAACAGACAGCAGUUAACAUCAUAUAGCACUCUUGCUACGAUGAUAAUAGCAUCAUGAUGGACACAAACAAGCAUGGGACAAUGGAACAAUGUGAAGAGCAUCUCACAAUGAACAUUUCGAUAUAUCAUAUGCACAAAACGGAGCUAUGGUCAUGGAGAUAUGGUAUAAUGAACAGGGCAUGAAAAUGUCAAAAUAUCAGAGACUUAGCAGAAAUCACCACCUCGAGGGCAAAAGUCAACAGCGGCGCGAGAAGCGAGGAUGGCCGGAGAAGGGGUCGGGGACGGGCGCACGUGGCGGAUCCAGGUCGGAUCUCGCCGGAUCCGGCCAGAUCCCGGCGCGGGGACGCGAGGAAGGACGCGGCGCGGGGCGGCAACCUCGGGGGCGGGGCGCNNNNNNNNNNNNNNNNNNNNNNNNNNNNNNNNNNNNNNNNNNNNNNNNNNNNNNNNNNNNNNNNNNNNNNNNNNNNNNNNNNNNNNNNNNNNNNNNNNNNNNNNNNNNNNNNNNNNNNNNNNNNNNNNNNNNNNNNNNNNNNNNNNNNNNNNNNNNNNNNNNNNNNNNNNNNNNNNNNNNNNNNNNNNNNNNNNNNNNNNNNNNNNNNNNNNNNNNNNNNNNNNNNNNNNNNNNNNNNNNNNNNNNNNNNNNNNNNNNNNNNNNNNNNNNNNNNNNNNNNNNNNNNNNNNNNNNNNNNNNNNNNNNNNNNNNNNNNNNNNNNNNNNNNNNNNNNNNNNNNNNNNNNNNNNNNNNNNNNNNNNNNNNNNNNNNNNNNNNNNNNNNNNNNNNNNNNNNNNNGUGAAGGACGCCACGAGAGGUGACAUGGCGGCAUGGGAUUCGCUGCGGCGGGCGGCGCGGACGUGUCCGGCGGGAUUGGACAUGUCCGUCGGCGAGAGGAGGAAGAAGCUAGGGUUUCAUCCGGGAAUUUCGGGGGAGGUGGCCUAUUUAUAGAUAGAGGGAGCUUGGAGACUCCAAAUGAGGAGCGGUUUUCGCCCACACGAUCGUGAUCGAACGACCGAGAGCAUGGAGGGGGUUUGGAUGGGCUCAUGGGCUGCCGUGAAGAGGGGCUGGGCUGCAAAGAGAGAGGGGUUUCAGGCUACGCGGUUAACCGUUGGGGCAUCAAACGACCUUCAAAUGGAAUGAAAUUUGACAGGCGGUCUACCGGUGCUAUACCAAGGGCACUCGGAAAACCUCGGUCCAUUCCGAGAACGCUUUUAACCCUCUCACGAAAACAAGGUCUGAGAGGGGCGACGGGCAUGCGCGAGAGGUCUGGACUCCGAACGGACAACGGAGAGGACCGGGGGAACACGGACAGAUGCAAGUUUUGAAAAACAUGCAGAUGAAAUGUAGAUGAUGACAUGGUAAAGUGCAACAUGCAAGCAAAUAACAUGGCAACAACGACGAAUAACUGGAGGACAUCUGGCGCAUCGAAUCCGGGGCCUUACAGACCACUAGCUUCCUUAAGGAAGCGCGAACUUGAAUAUUUGCAACGAUGAAGAAGGAACCAACUUCCAAGGCAAGCACCUCGUAAAUGGAUAAGUUAAAAUCUAAAAGCAUGCCACCCGAAUGCCCUAUCGCAGGAGCAUGGUUCCACGCGAAGCGUUCUAGGUGGUCAACAGAAGGUAGCUCAUGAUGAUGGAAAUCUGCUUUGAUCAUUUCCUGAAGCCCUACAAUAUCGACGUCCUCUUUCCUGAUGUACUCCUUAAGUUGGGUGCGACGCCCCGCGUGACCGAAGCCACGUAUAUUCCAGAACAUAGCCUGCAUCUAGAUUCUGCGGUUUCGCAAACGAACACCUCGAGAGGUGAUCGCCUUGGCCACGUGCCUCACCUUGCCACGGCAAGGCGAGGGAGGAUAAGCAACCCCUGUUGACGUUUCCUCGUCGGGCCAGACCGCGAGCGCAUCCAAGGCCCCUGCCUCGGAUGCCAACUAGUUCGCGUGUUUCGCAGCCACCGCUGCCAUCUGUCUACGCCAAUUCCUUGGCACGGAUCAGCGAGAUCAACUCUCUAGUCCUGCCAACUGGUUUGCGUGUUUCGCAGCCGCCGCUGCCAGCUGCCUGCGCCAAUUUCUUGGCACGGAUCAGCGAGAUCAACUCUCUAGUCCCUCACACUCCCAACGGGUCCACUCCAAUAUCUCCCAAAACCUCACUCAAGUGAUCAUCGAAAAAGGAAUCAAGAACCAUGAAGCGAGGAGGAGGGGGAUUACUUGAGAUCUCCAUAUUGUUCUGGGCUUGGAGGAGUUAAGCACGCUGGAGAGAUCGCAUGCUCUCCUUGGAGCCCUUAGUGCGGGAGCUCAUCCUCACCGGUGCUACCGGCACGGCCUUGGAGCGCUUGGCCUUGGAGAUGGGCACCGUCUUGGUGGCCUCCUGCAGGAGCAGGUCGAUGAGGGGGGGGGGUGCUGGGGGCCGCCAACGCCAUGACCGUCUGGCACAGAGUGGCUGGUGCUCCCAGCGGCUCCGCAGGCUGAACCACCUCUGCACUCACCUUGCGCACCGCCACCUUCUUAGCUUGCCGCACCCCGCUGGCCUUGUUGUUGUUGUGCCCGCCCUGGACCAGGGAGUGCGAUGAUUGGAGCUGCGAGGUGUCCAUGGACAGGACUAGAGGGGUACGUGUGCCCUCCAGCACGACCACGUCCUCCAAGUCCAAGGGCCCCUUGUCCACCGAACGCACUGGAAGGGAGGUCACCGAGCCGAGGUUGGAGCCGUAUUGGUUGGGGAUUGACACCUCCAACCCAUUGGAUAGCCCGUCCUGCACCGCCUCAGCCGCAUGAGCCGCUUGCUGAGGAGGGAUCGCAGCCACUCCCCUGUCCAAGAUGCCAAGCUUUUCCCAAGCCGCAGUGUCAAUGGAAUCGUCCUCCAUACUAGCAUCUUGAUCCUUGUCCCCGUCCCGCCCCUGGUCGCCCUAAUCUGUACCCUUGCCAUUGUUGUGAGGAGGAGGAGGAAGGGCGGGAGCCCCCUGACGAGGUGGGUCGAGCUCCGGCUCCACUCUGAUGUUGAAGCCUGCACCAUUGAACCAGAUCUGCACCAUGCCCCGCAGGUUGGAAGGGUUGCGGCAGGCGAAGCGCAUGCGGACUGGCCCCAGGCGGAUCAGCAACUCCUCAUCGACCAAGAGAGGCCUGUCGAGCAUCAUAGUUGCCGCCAUGAGCCGGUCCGUCCACCGCUGCUUGGGCGGCACCCCCCGCAGCUUGACCCAAACAUCUGGCAGAGCCUCUUCCUUUGGCUCAUCGAGGACGGCGUCACGGAUGUCGGCCGUGAUGUUAUUGAUGGAAAGGUAAAGCUUGCCGAUGCAUGUGGCCAUCCGCAGCAUGGCCGGGUUCGGGAACACCACAGAGAAAGUGUCGCCAACGAGCUGGGUCACCUGCCAGUCCCAGGACCCCUCAAACAAGUGCGGCAACUCCACCUCCAUAAUGGCCUUUGAGAGCAAGCCCGGGGCCGCGGACAGAACAGCCGCGUUGGCCCCGAGCAAGUUGUUGGGGAACGUAGUAAUUUCUAAAAAUUUCCUACGCACACUCAAGAUCAUGGUGAUGCAUAGCAACGAGAGGGGAGAGUGUGUCCACGUACCCUCGUAGACCGAAAGCGGAAGCGUUAUGACAACGCGGUUGAUGUAGUCGUAUGUCUUCACGAUCCGACCGAUCCAAGCGCCGAACAUACGGCACCUCCGAGUUCAGCACACGUUCAGCUCGAUGACGAUCCCCGGACUCCGAUCCAGCAGGGUGUCGGGGAUGAGUUCCGUCAGCACGACAGCGUGGUGACGAUGAUGAUGUUCUACCGACGCAGGGCUUCGCCUAAGCACCACAACGAUAUGACCGAGGUGGAAUAUGGUGGAGGGGGGCACCGCACACGGCUAAGGAACGAUCACGAAGAUCAACUUGUGUGUCUAGAGGUGCCCCCCUGCCCCCGUAUAUAAAGGAGGGAGGGAGAGGUGCGUCCGGCCCCCUAGGGGUGCGCCUGGAGGAGUCCUACUCCCACCGGGAGUAGGACUCCCCUCUUGCCUUGGUGGAGAAGGAAAGGGGGGAGGGGAAAGAGGAAAGGGGGGCGCCUCCCCCUUCCUUGUCCUAUUCGGACUAGGGGGAGAGGGGGCGCGCGGCCUGCCGUGGUCGGCCCUUCCUCUUCUCCCUCAUGGCCCAUGUAGGCCCAUUAACCCCCGGGGGGGUUCCGGUAACCCCCCGGUACUCCGAAAAAAUCCCGAUUUCUCCCGGAACGAUUCCGUUAUCCCAAUAUAGGCUUCCAAUAUAUCAAUCUUUAUGUCUCGACCAUUUUGUGACUCCUCAUCAUGUCCGUGAUCACAUCCGGGAAUCCGAACAACCUUCAGUACAUCAAAACAUAUAAACUCAUAAUGAAAUUGUCAUCGUAACUUUAAGCGUGCGGACCCUAAAGGUUCGAGAACUAUGUAGACAUGACCUAGAACUAUUUCCGGUCAAUAACUAAUAGCGGAACCUGGAUGCUCAUAUUGGCUCCUACAUAUUCUACGAAGAUCUUUAUCGGUCAAACCGCAUAACAACAUACGUUGUUCCCUUUGUCAUCGGUAUGUUACUUGCCCGAGGUUCGAUCGCCGGUAUCCAAUACCUAGUUCAAUCUCAUUACCGGCAAGUCUCUUUACUCGUUACGUAAUGCAUCAUUCCGUAACCAACUCAUUGGCCACAUUGCUUGCAAGGCUUAUAGUGAUGUGCAUUACCGAGAGGGCCGAGAGAUACCUCUCCGACAAUCGGAGUGACAAAACCUAAUCUUGAAAUACGCCAACUCAACAUCUACCUUUGGAGACACCUGUAGAGCUCCUUUAUAAUCACCCAGUUACAUUGUGACGUUUGGUAGCACACAAAGUGUUUCUUCGGUAAACGGGAGUUGCAUAAUCUCAUAGUUGUAGGAACUUUGUAUAAGUUAUGAAGAAAGCAAUAGCAACAUACUAAACGAUCAAGUUCUAGGCUAACGGAAUGGGUCAAGUCAAUCACAUCAUUCUCCUAAUGAUGUGAUCUCUUUAAUCAAAUGACAACACAUGCCUAUGGUUAGGAAACAUAACCAUCUUUGAUUAAUGAGCUAGUCAAGUAGAGGCAUACUAGUGACAUUAAGUUUGUCUAUGUAUUCACACAUGUAUCAUGUUUCCGGUUAAUACAAUUCUAGCAUGAAUAAUAAACAUUUAUCAUGAUAUAGGAAAUAAACAAUAACUUUAUUAUUGCCUCUAGGGCAUAUUUCCUUCAGUCUCCCACUUGCACUAGAGUCAAUAAUCUAGAUUACACAGUAAUGAUUCUAACACCCAUGGAGUCUUGGUGCUGAUCAUGUUUUGCUCGUGGAAGAGGCUUAGUCAACGGGUCUGCUACAUUCAGAUCCGUAUGUAUCUUGCAAAUCUCUAUGUCUCCCACCUGGACUUGGUCCCGGAUGGAAUUGAAACUUCUCUUGAUGUGCUUGGUACUCUUGUGAAAUCUGGAUUCCUUUGCGAAGGCAAUUGCACCAGUAUUUUCACAGAAGAUCUUCAUUGGUCCCGAUGCACUAGGUAUGACACCUAGAUCGGAAAUGAACUCCUUCAUCUAGACUCCUUCAUUUGCUGCUUCCGAAGCAGCUAUGUACUCCGCUUCGCAUGUAGAUCCCGCCACAACGCUUUGUUUAGAACUGCACCAACUUACAGCUCCACCUUUAAUAAAAACACGUAUCCGGUUUGCGAUUUAGAAUCGUCCGGAUCAGUGUCAAAGCUUGCAUCGACGUAACCAUUUACGACUAGCUCUUUGUCACCUCCAUAAAUGAGAAACAUAUCCUUAGUCCCUUUCAGGUAUUUCAGGAUGUUCUUGACCGUUGUCCAGUGAUCCACUCCUGGAUUACUUUGGUACCUCCCUGCUAAACUUAUUGCUAAGCAUACAUCAGGUCUGGUACACAGCAUUGCAUACAUGAUAGAGCCUAUGGCUGAAGCAUAGGAAACAUCUUUCAUUUUUUUCUCUAUCUUCUGCUAUGGUCGGGAAUUGAGUCUGACUCAACUUCACACCCUGUAAUACAGGCAAGAACCCUUUCUUUGCCUGAUCCAUUUUGAACUUUUUCAAAACUUUAUCAAGGUAUGUGCUUUCUGAAAGUCCAAUUAAACGUCUUGCUCUAUCUCUAUAGAUCUUGAUGCCCAAUAUGUAAGCAGGUUCACCGAGGUCUUUCAUUGAAAAACUUUUAUUCAAGUAUCCCUUUAUGCUAUCCAGAAAUUCUAUAUCAUUUCCAAUUAACAAUAUGUCAUCUACAUAUAAUAUCAGAAAUGCUACAGAGCUCCCACUCACUUUCUUGUAAAUACAGGCUUCUCCAAAAGUCUAUAUAAAACUAUAUGCUUUGAUCACACUAUCAAAGCAUUUAUUCCAACUCCGAGAUGCUUGCACCAGUCCAUAAAUGGAUCGCUGGAGCUUGCACACUUUGUUAGCACCUUUUGGAUCAACAAAACCUUCCGGUUGCAUCAUAUACAACUCUUCUUCCAGAAAUCCAUUCAGGAAUGCAGUUUUUACAUCCAUUUGCCAAAUUUCAUAAUCAUAAAAUGCGGCAAUUGCUAACAUGAUUCGGACAGACUUAAGCAUCGCUACGGGUGAGAAAGUCUCAUCGUAGUCAACCCCUUGAACUUGUCGAAAACCUUUUGCAACAAGUCGAGCUUUGUAGACAGUCAUAUUACCAUCAGCGUCAGUCUUCUUCUUAAAAAUCUAUUUAUUCUCAAUAGCUUGCCGAUCAUUGGGCAAGUCAACCAAAAUCCAUACUUUGUUCUCAUACAUGGAUCAUAUCUCAGAUUUCAUGGCUUCAAGCCAUUUUGCGGAAUCUGGGCUCAUCAUCACUUCCUCAUAGUUCGCAGGUUCGCCAUGGUCAAGUAACAUGACUUUCAGAACAGGAUUACCGUACCACUCUGGUGCGGAUCUUACUCUGGUAGACCUACGAGUAUUAGUAGAAACUUGAUCUAAAGAUUCAUGAUCAAUAUCAUUAGCUUCGUCACUAAUUGGUGUAGUUGUCACAGGAACCGGUUCUUGUGAUGAACUACUUUCCAAUAAGGGAGCAGGUACAAUUACCUCAUCAAGUUCUACUUUCCUCCCACUCACUUCUUUUGAGAGAAACUCCUUCUCUAGAAAGGAUCCGAAUUUAGCAACGAAAAUCUUGCCCUCAGAUCUGUGAUAGAAGGUGUACCCAAUUGUCUCUUUUGGGUAUCCUAUGAAGACACAUUUCUCUGAUUUGGGUUCGAGCUUAUCUGGUUGAAGUUUUUUCACAUAAGCAUCACAACCCCAAACUUUAAGAAACGACAACUUUGGUUUCUUGCCAAACCACAGUUCAUAAGGCGUCGUCUCAACGGAUUUUGAUGGUGCCCUAUUUAACGUGAAUGUGGCCGUCUCUAAAGCAUAACCCCAAAACGAUAGCGGUAAAUUAGUAAGAGACAUCAUAGAUCGUACCAUAUCCAGUAAAGUACGAUUACGACGUUCGGACACACCAUUUCAUUGUGGUGUUCCGGGUGGCGUGAGUUGCGAAACUAUUCCGCAUUGUUUCAAAUGUAAACCAAACUCGUAACUCAAAUAUUCUCCUCCACGAUCAGAUCGUAGAAAUUUUAUUUUCUUGUUACGAUGAUUUUCCACUUCACUCUGAAAUUCUUUGAACUUUUCAAAUGUUUCAGAUUUGUGUUUCAUCAAGUAGAUAUACCCAUAUCUGCUCAAAUCAUGUGUGAAGGUGAGAAAAUAACGAUACCCGCCAUGAGCCUCAAUAUUCAUUGGACCACAUACAUCAGUAUGUAUGAUUUCCAACAAACUAGUUGCUCGCUCCAUAGUUCCGGAGAACCGCGUUUUAGUCAUCUUGCCCAUGAGGCACGGUUCGCAAGUACCAAGUGAUUCAUAAUCAAGUGAUUCUAAAAGUCCAUCAGUAUGGAGUUUCUUCAUGCGCUUUACACCGAUAUGACCUAAACGGCAGUGCCACAAAUAAGUUGCACUAUCAUUAUUAACCCUGCAUCUUUUGGCUUCAACAUUAUGAAUAUGUGUAUCACUACUAUCGAGAUUUAGUAAAAAUAGACCACUCUGUAAGUGUGCAUGACCAUAAAAGAUAUUACUCAUAUAAAUAGAACAACCAUUAUUCUCUAAUUUAAAUGAAUAACCGCCUCGCAUCAAACAAGAUCCAGAUAUAAUGUUCAUGCUCAACGCUGGCACAAAAUAACAAUUAUUUAGGUAUAAAACUAAUCCCGAUGGUAGAUGUAGAGGUAGCGUGCCGACCGCGAUCACAUCGACUUUGGAACCAUUUCCCACGCGCAUCGUCACCUCGUCCUUAGCCAAUCUUCGCCUAUUCCGUAGUCCCUAUUUCGAGUUGUAAAUAUUAGCAACAGAACCAGUAUCAAAUACCCAGGUGCUACUAUGAGCAUUAGUAAGGUACACAUCAAUAACAUGUAUAUCACAUAUACCUUUGUUCACUUUGCCAUCCUUUUUAUCCGCCAAAUACUUGGGGCAAUUCCGCUUCCAGUGUCCAGUCUGCUUGCAGUAGAAGCACUCAGUCUCAGGCUUAGGUCCAGACUUGGGUUUCUUCUCUUGAGCAGCAACUUGUUUGCUGUUCUUCUUGAAGUUCCCCUUCUUCUUCCCUUUGCCCUUUUUCUUGAAACUGGUGGUCUUAUUGACCAUCAACACUUGAUGCUCCUUCUUGAUUUCUACCUCCGCAGCCUUUAGCAUUGCAAAGAGCUCGGGUAUAGUCUUGUCCAUCCCUUGCAUAUUAUAGUUCAUCACGAAGCUCUUGUAGCUUGGUGGCAGUGAUUGAAGAAUUCUGUCAAUGACACUAUCAUCAGGAAGAUUAACUCCCAGUUGAAUCAAGUGAUUAUUAUACCCAGACAUUUUGAGUAUGUGUUCACUGACAGAACUAUUCUCCUCCAUCUUACAGCUAUAGAACUUAUUGGAGACUUCAUAUCUCUCAAUCUGGGCAUUUGCUUGAAAUAUUAAUUUCAACUCCUGGAACAUCUCAUAUGCUCCAUGAUGUUCAAAACGUCAUUGAAGAUCCGAUUCUAAACCGUAAAGCAUGGCACACUAAACUAUCGAGUAGUCAUCAGCUUUGCUUUGCCAGACGUUCUUAACGUCAUCAGUUGCAUCUGCAGUAGGCCUGGCACCCAGCGGUGCUUCCAGGACGUAAUUCUUCUGUGCAGCAAUGAGGAUAAUCGUCAGGUUACAGACCCAGUCCAUGUAAUUGCUACCAUCAUCUUUCAACUUAGCUUUCUCAAGGAACGCAUUAAAAUUCAAUGGAACAAUAGCAUGAGCCAUCUAUCUACAACAAACAUAGACAAGCAAAAAUACAAUCAGGUACUAAGUUCAUGAUAAAUUUAAGUUCAAUUAAUCAUAUUACUUAAGAACUCCCACUUAGACAGACAUCUCUCUAGUCAUCUAAGUGAUCACGUGAUCCAAAUCAACUAAACCAUGUCCGAUCAUCACGUGAGAUGGAGUAGUUUUCAAUCAACAUCACUAUGUUGAUCAUAUCUACUAUAUGAUUCACGCUCGACCUUUCGGUCUCUGUGUUCCGAGGCCAUAUCUGUAUAUGCUAGGCUCGUCAAGUUUAACCUGAGUAUUUCGCGUGUGCAACUGUUUUGCACCCAUUGUAUUUGAACGUAGAGCCUAUCACACCCGAUCAUCACGUGGUGUCUCAGCACGAAGAACUUUCACAACAGUGCAUACUCAGGGAGAACACUUCUUGAAAAUUUAGUGAGAGAUCAUCUUAAAAUGCUACCGUCAAACAAAGCAAGAUAAGAUGCAUAAAGGAUAAACAUCACAUGCAAUCAAUAUAAGUGAUAUGAUAUGGCCAUCAUCAUCUUGUGCUUGUGAUCUCCAUCUCCGAAGCACCAUCGUGAUCACCAUCAUCACCGGCGCGACACCUUGAUCUCCAUCGUAGCAUCGUUGUUGUUACGCCAUCUAUUUCUUCUAUGACUAUCGCUACCGCUUAGUGAUAAAGUAAAGCAAUUACAGGGCGUUUGCAUUUCAUACAAUAAAGCGACAACCAUAUGGCUCCUGCCAGUUGCCGAUAACUUCGGUUACAAAACAUGAUCAUCUCAUACAAUAAAAUAUAGCAUCACGUCUUGACCAUAUCACAUCACAACAUGCCCUGCAAAAACAAGUUAGACGUCCUCUACUUUGUUGUUUGCAAAUUUUACGUGGCUGCUACGGGCUGAGCAAGAACCGUUCUUACCUACGCAUCAAAACCACAACGAUAGUUCGUCAAGUUAGUGCUGUUUUAACCUUCGCAAGGAACGAGCGUAGCCACACUUAGUUCAACUACAGUUGGAGAAACAGACACCCGCUAGUCACCUGUGUGCGAAGCACGACGGUAAAACCAGUCUCGCGUAAGCGUACGCGUAAUGUCGGUCCGGGCCGCUUCAUCCAACAAUACCGCUGAACCAAAGUAUGACAUGCUGGUAAGCAGUAUGACUUGUAUCGCCCACAACUCACUUGUGUUCUACUCGUGCAUAUAACAUCAACGAUAAAAUCUUGGCUCGGAUGCCACUGUUGGGGAACGUAGUAAUUUCAAAAAAAUUCCUACGCACACUCAAGAUCAUGGUGAUGCAUAGCAACGAGAGGGGAGAGUGUGUCCACGUACCCUCGUAGACCGAAAGCGGAAGCGUUAUGACAACGCGGUUGAUGUAGUCGUACGUCUUCACGAUCCGACCGAUCCAAGCACCGAACGUACGGCACCUCUGAGUUCAGCACAUGUUCAGCUCGAUGACGAUCCCCGGACUCCGAUCCAGCAGGGUGUCGGGGAUGAGUUCCGUCAGCACGACGGUGUGGUGACGAUGAUGAUGUUCUACCGGCGCAGGGCUUCGCCUAAGCACCGCAACGAUAUGACCGAGGUGGAAUAUGGUGGAGGGGGGCACCACACACGGCUAAGGAACGAUCACGAAGAUCAACUUGUGUGUCUAGAGGUGCCCCCUGCCCUCGUAUAUAAAGGAGGGAGGGGAAGGUGCGGCCGGGCCCCUAGGGGUGCGUCUGGAGGAGUCCUACUCCCACCGGGAGUAGGACUCCCCUCUUGCCUUGGUGGAGAAGGAAAGGGGGGAGGGGAAAGAGGAAAGGGGAGCGCCCCCCCUCCUUGUCCUAUUCGGACUAGGGGGAGAGGGGGCGCGCGGCCUGCCCUGGCCGGCCCUUCCUCUUCUCCCUCAUGGCCCAUGUAGGCCCAUUAACCCCCGGGGGGGUUCCGGUAACCCCCCGGUACUCCGGAAAAAUCCCGAUUUCUCCCGGAACGAUUCCGUUAUCCAAAUAUAGGCUUCCAAUAUAUCAAUCUUUAUGUCUCAACCAUUUCGAGACUCCUCGUCAUGUCCGUGAUCACAUCCGGGAAUCGGAAUAACCUUCGAUACAUCAAAACAUAUAAAAUCAUAAUGAAACUGUCAUCAUAACUUUAAGCAUGCGGACCCUACGGGUUCGAGAACUAUGUAGACAUGACCUAGAACUGUUUCCGGUCAAUAACCAAUAGCGGAACCUGGAUGCUCAUAUUGGCUCCUACAUAUUCUACGAAGAUCUUUAUCGGUCAAACCGCAUAACAACAUACGUUGUUCCCUUUGUCAUCGGUAUGUUACUUGCCCGAGGUUCGAUCGUCGGUAUCCAAUACCUAGUUCAAUCUCGUUACCGGCAAGUCUCUUUACUCGUUACGUAAUGCAUCAUUCCGUAACCAACUCAUUGGCCACAUUGCUUGCAAGGCUUAUAGUGAUGUGCAUUAUCAAGAGAGCCUAGAGAUACCUCUCCGACAAUCGGAGUGACAAAACCUAAUCUUGAAAUACGCCAACUCAACAUCUACCUUUGGAGACACCUGUAGAGCUCCUUUAUAAUCACUCAGUUACGUUGUGACGUUUGGUAGCACACAAAGUGUUCCUCCGAUAAAUGGGAGUUGCAUAAUCUCAUAGUUGUAGGAACUUUGUAUAAGUUAUGAAGAAAGCAAUAGCAACAUACUAAACGAUCAAGUGCUAGGCUAACGGAAUGGGUCAAGUCAAUCACAUCAUUCUCCUAAUGAUGUGAUCUCUUUAAUCAAAUGACAACACAUGUCUAUGGUUAGGAAACAUAACCAUCUUUGAUUAAUGAGCUAGUCAAGUAGAGGCAUACUAGUGACAUUAAGUUUGUCUAUGUAUUCACACAUGUAUCAUGUUUCCGGUUAAUACAAUUCUAGCAUGAAUAAUAAACAUUUAUCAUGAUAUGAGGAAAUAAAUAAUAACUUUAUUAUUGCCUCUAGGGCAUAUUUCCUUCACAAGUCCUGCGGCUCCUCCUUCGAGUCUUUAGCGUACUGCAGGCAGUAGAACCCCUCCCUGGAGAUGACGUGUCCCAUGGUUUGGAGCAGUAGGGGCUUCCCGCGGGUGGAGCAGUGGGCAGAUGUGUGGCCCUCCUGGGUGCACACCACAUACAAUAGCUUGAAGGAGCAGUUGUUUUGGAAGUGACCGGAGCGGCCGCACUUGAUGCACUCCGGGUCGUCCGCCUCCUCGACGGGGAUAGGCUCUACCGUCGUGCCCUUGGAAGAGGAAGGCGCUGAGGGUUGCUACGGGGCGGGUAGGUUGGAGCCACCGCCCCCGCUGACUUGAACUUCUGCUUCUUCGCAUAUGGAUCUCGAACGCGGUCGCCGCUGUGGGGAAGCGGCAGCCCCUUGUGCUUGAGUUCGAGGCCACGCUUCUUGUGCUCCCCCUUCUUCUUCUUUUUCCUCUCCUGUUCCUUGAGCCACCAAGAAGGCGGUGGCCCCCAACCUCCCUCCUCGCCGACGCGCUCCGUCCCCUGCGCCAUGGGUUGACGGCGCCGCUCGCGGUCCCGCGACCGCUCCACCGCCGGCUCUUGGGAUCCCAUGGGCCACUUGUCCGCACGGCGAUCAGCCUUGGAGCCCAUUGCCACCACCUCAGCAAAGGAGCACACGAAGGAUGGAGGGGGAGGGGGAAAGAGGGUGCUAGCGGAUCGGCCGAAACGCCACACCUCAGGUCUGGUGGCAGGAAACUUAAAGAGGCGUCUAGGGUUCCCCGGCGCAGCCACAACCACUUAUAUGGCUUGGCGAGCGGGCCUGGGCCGGGCUGCACCAAGGCGCUCGCAGGCCCCAGCCCAAGGUCGCGGCCCACCUGCCCGACCUAGCCCACCGGCCCUGGAGACUUCUCCUCCCCAACCCUAGGAGCAGGAGCCCGAGGAUCCGCCGGCGCCGCCGCCACCGCGGACCGAGCCAACUCCGGCGGGAUCUUCCUUGGGCUGGCGAGAAGAAGAAGGUCGGCGCUCGUCUCUGGACAUAGCGUCCCACUCCGGGCUGCCCACGCCGGAGCAGCACGAGGUGCAAUCCGUGACAGCGACCUAGCCAGCCUGGGCCCGCAGCCGCCGAGCGCGAACGCGCGCCGCCGUCCGGCCUUGAAGGAGCCCCCGAGCUCCUUCGCCCGCGCCACGAAGUCGCCGACGGAGCACGAAGCCCUGUCGCGCUCCAAAUCAACCACUGCAUCGCACAUCUCCUCCUCCUCAUCCGAACACUCACUGGCUAGGGCCCAGAAUCUGCUCCCCGACCAGCCACCCGCGCGCGAUGGCCGUGGACUCUGCUCCUUGCCCGGCGAAAGGCGGAACUGCCACGUCGCCGGCCGGACCUUAGUCCACGUGCCCCGCUAGGCGGAGACGACCGCGGCGUGGCCGCACGGGGUGGAGGCGCUCGCGGUGUCGCCGCCCGAGUCGCCCUGGUCGCACGGCCGUACAAGAGCCGUUGGAGCCAUCUUGUAGUCUCUUAUGGGAUUUCAUCUUCCCCAUCGAUGACGACAGAUCUCGGCAGCGUGGAGCAAUGGAGUCUCAGCGUCCGAUGCGAGUUGACGGACUCGCGCAGGAGGACGGUGCUGUCUGGCGUCGUGGUGGCGUCGACGGCAGGCCUGGCAAGAUUGUUGCACCAAUUCUUGUUCUGAAGAGAUGGAUAGGUGGAAGACGACAGUGGUCGCCUCUGAGAGUGCGCCGGACCGGUGUGUGCACCAGACCCGGCAAUCUAACUUGGUUGGGGCCUUCAGCUUUAGAUGUUAGGCUUUUUGUGCGAAGUCUGUUUGGUAUUCGGUUUGGAUUUUUGGCACCCCUUCAUCAAGUGGAUAGGAGUAGCGACAAAUGUUGCCGAGAUGAUGGCUUCAGAAUUAUGGAUGCAUUACUUUGUAAGAUCUUUGUAAAUAAUUAAUAAAAUGGCUGAAUGCAUCGGCCAGAUGCAGAGGCCUAGGGUCAUCCUCCUUUUCUAAGAAAAGAAAAAAGAACAUGGCAUUCUGCAAACAAAAAGAAGACCGCAAAACAUCGGAAGUGGUCUGCAACAUGCAACGGAGCCGCCGAUAUUCGUUUCGAGAAAAGGAAGAUGCCGAUUUGAACUCAGAAACUGCAGACUAUUACUCCUCUGUCCCAAGUAUCAAAAACGUUCUUAUAUUAUGGGACGAAGAGAAUAUUACUUUCGAAAAUGUUUUUGUACACUCAUAAGGGAUGGCGGCACACUUGAAAUAUUAAACCCAUUAAGCUACUCGUGAAGGGCGCCACGUGUCGCAAGCUGGUUGGCCCGGCAAGAAAUUUUUUGGAACUUUUUUAGAUGAAGGUGUGGAUUAUUUUUUAAAUGUAUUUUUUCUUUUUAGAUGGAGGUGAGGACCUCUAGUAUUCUUUUAAAUGAAGGGUUAUGCAAAGUGGCACUCCAUGAUACGCUGUGGUGAUAAUUAUUUUUCUUUUUCUACUUUUUUUUAUAAGGUGAGGAUUUUUUUGUGAGAUGUUUUUUUAUACGGAGGCGAGAACACUAUGUAUUUUUUUAAAUGAAAACAUGCACACAACUUUUUCUCAAGCGGGGCCACAGGGUGGCGCCCCAAAGACCAAACCGUGAGCACAAAACACAUACAUGUUCGUUCUUACGACUAUACAUUAUUACUCGAGGGAAGUCCUUAUAAUUUUCUUCUUCUUCUGUUUAAAGCAGCGAGGGUGUGACGAAGAAGCUCGAUCUACUCGUCCAUCCUCAUGACGCAGCGAAGUCCCUCUCCCUUGAGCAUGAGGUCGAACGCCGUGUUGAUCUGCGAGAAAGGCACGCUGUGUGUGAUGAACUUCUCCACGUCCAGCUCCUUUCUCAUGUACAUCUCCACGACUUCCGGGAGGUCGGUACGCGGCUUGUAGUUGCCGAAAAAGGUGCCCUUCAGGGUCCUCUCAUUGAGGAAGUUCAUCGGGUGGGUCUUGAACACUGCCUCCUUAUGGGGGACACCCACCAGCACCGCCACGCCCCACCC
Molecule: long non-coding RNA, 34008 nt
Filed under: Triticum aestivum (bread wheat)
Lineage: Eukaryota; Viridiplantae; Streptophyta; Magnoliopsida; Poales; Poaceae
Description: long non-coding RNA (TAES_LNC002922)
Source: RNAcentral